GAUGCUGGUCAAAUAUUGGAAGAAAAAGUUCUGGCAUUAACGAUAUAAACCUUGAUAAUGGUUGUAAACGUUUAGGAAUAAUCCUCCAUGAAAUCGGACAUGCCCUUGGUAUGUGGCACGAGCAAAGCAGACAAGACAGAAACAGUUAUGUCACCAUAGUUGAAAAAAACAUUGAAAGCGGAAAAGAACGCAAUUUCAUGGUCAGACCUGGUGUUACCUAUGGAACACAAUACGAUUAUGGAUCAAUCAUGCAUUACGGUGAAAGGGCAUUAUCAAAAAAUGGAGGGAAAACAAUCAUUGCCAAGCAAAGCGGUUACAGCAGGACAAUGGGACAAAUAACGUCUUUGUCGUUUAAUGACAUAAAGGCUAUUAACUACCACUAUU
Saccostrea cuccullata (small rock oyster) is the source of this 384-nucleotide long non-coding RNA. RefSeq lists it as uncharacterized. The record is from RefSeq and is a predicted model, not a curated record. Lineage: Eukaryota; Metazoa; Mollusca; Bivalvia; Ostreida; Ostreidae. The transcript is spliced from 3 exons.